CGGAAAUUAGCGUAGUGGUAGCGCACCUGCCUUGGGAGCAGUAGGUCACAUGUUCAAUUCAUGUAUUUCCGA
Molecule: transfer RNA, 72 nt
Filed under: Hepatozoon canis
Lineage: Eukaryota; Apicomplexa; Hepatozoidae
Description: tRNA-Pro
Rfam family: tRNA
About the family: Transfer RNA (tRNA) molecules are approximately 80 nucleotides in length. Their secondary structure includes four short double-helical elements and three loops (D, anti-codon, and T loops).
Source: RNAcentral